RNAcentral lists this ribosomal RNA (482 nucleotides) under uncultured bacterium. RNAcentral's name for it is "partial 16S ribosomal RNA". It matches the Rfam family "Bacterial small subunit ribosomal RNA", at positions 30 to 507 of the family's 1533-position model. The record is from RNAcentral.
AUUGAACGCUGGCGGCAUGCCUUACACAUGCAAGUCGAACGGUAACGGGCCUUCGGGUGCCGACGAGUGGCAAACGGGUGAGUAAUACAUCGGAACGUGCCCGAUCGUGGGGGAUAACGAGGCGAAAGCUUUGCUAAUACCGCAUACGAUCUACGGAUGAAAGCAGGGGACCGCAAGGCCUUGCGCGGACGGAGCGGCCGAUGGCAGAUUAGGUAGUUGGUGGGAUAAAAGCUUACCAAGCCGACGAUCUGUAGCUGGUCUGAGAGGAUGAUCAGCCACACUGGGACUGAGACACGGCCCAGACUCCUACGGGAGGCAGCAGUGGGGAAUUUUGGACAAUGGGCGCAAGCCUGAUCCAGCCAUGCCGCGUGCAGGAUGAAGGCCUUCGGGUUGUAAACUGCUUUUGUACGGAACGAAAAGCCUUCUUUUAAUACAGGAGGGUCAUGACGGUACCGGAAGAAUAAGCACCGGCUAACUACGUG